Molecule: ribosomal RNA, 254 nt
Filed under: uncultured bacterium
Lineage: Bacteria
Description: partial 16S ribosomal RNA
Rfam family: Bacterial small subunit ribosomal RNA
Source: RNAcentral
UACGUAGGGGGCUAGCGUUGUCCGGAAUCAUUGGGCGUAAAGCGCGUGUAGGCGGUCCGGUAAGUCCGCUGUGAAAGUCGGGGGCUCAACCCUCGAAUGCCGGUGGAUACUGUCGGGCUAGAGUGCGGAAGAGGCGAGUGGAAUUCCUGGUGUAGCGGUGAAAUGCGCAGAUAUCAGGAGGAACACCAGUGGCGAAGGCGACUACCUGGCCUGUUUCUUGACGCUGAGGCGCGAAAGCUAGGGGAGCAAACGGG